RNAcentral lists this ribosomal RNA (208 nucleotides) under uncultured Gardnerella sp. Its description in RNAcentral is "partial 16S ribosomal RNA". It matches the Rfam family "Bacterial small subunit ribosomal RNA", at positions 146 to 355 of the family's 1533-position model. The record is from RNAcentral. Lineage: Bacteria; Bacillati; Actinomycetota; Actinomycetes; Bifidobacteriales; Bifidobacteriaceae.
GCUCUUGGAAACGGGUGGUAAUGCUGGAUGCUCCAACUUGACGCAUGUCUUGUUGGGAAAGUGUUUAGUGGCAUGGGAUGGGGUCGCGUCCUAUCAGCUUGUAGGCGGGGUAAUGGCCCACCUAGGCUUCGACGGGUAGCCGGCCUGAGAGGGCGGACGGCCACAUUGGGACUGAGAUACGGCCAGACUCCUACGGGAGGCAGCAGCC